UUUAUUUUGUUUUUUUCAUGAAGACUCAACCAAAACAAACAUAUAAACUAUAGGCAAACGAAUGCAAGAAACAAAACCAUAUACAUAUACUUGCACGAUAAAGUUCGAAAUCAUUAGGUGGUGGCGGAACCCUGAAGAAGUCCAUCACGUAUCUGAUUAGCGACCUCACGAACCGCACCCGGUCCAUGAGGGAUAAACACAGCCGAUGAUUUGGAAGAUGCACCAAUGUCCUUCAUUGUGUCAAAAUACUGAGUCACUAAAACCAUGUCCAUAACAUCUUUUGCAGUCGUUCCUGGAACAUUCACCGAG
This 309-nucleotide long non-coding RNA is filed under the name Lactuca sativa (garden lettuce). RNAcentral's name for it is "long non-coding RNA (LSAT_LNC000056)". Lineage: Eukaryota; Viridiplantae; Streptophyta; Magnoliopsida; Asterales; Asteraceae. The record is from RNAcentral.